GCAAGUCGAGCGCUUUCCUUCGGGAAGGAGCGGCGGGCGGGUUAAUGACGCGUGGGCAUAUACCCUUCACUAUGGAAUAGCCUCGGGAAACUGAGAGUAAUACCAUAUACGCCCUUCGGGGGAAAGAUUUAUCGGUGAAGGAUUAGCCCGCGUUAGAUUAGAUAGUUGGUGGGGUAAUGGCCUACCAAGUCUACGAUCUAUAGCUGGUUUGAGAGGAUGAUC
RNAcentral lists this ribosomal RNA (222 nucleotides) under uncultured bacterium. RNAcentral describes it as "partial 16S ribosomal RNA". It matches the Rfam family "Bacterial small subunit ribosomal RNA", at positions 57 to 305 of the family's 1533-position model. The record is from RNAcentral.